UGGAGUUUCUUCAAAAAUGGAGUUGGUUGGGCUUUACAGUCUUCAAGUGUUACAGCUCUACACAAAGGACAUAGACAUUAGUCACCAGGCAUAAGCUGGGAUGAUCAGAUCACUACAGAGUUCCUCUGCCAUGCUUCAUACCCACACUGAACACCGUGGAAAGAUCUGGAGAUUGCUGUGAGUGAGCACAUUGCAUCUUGGAGCAGGUCAGCUUUGCUCAUCCAGGGAGAGAUAGUGUGAGCGGAGGCACCACCCACUGGAAAGCAUAGACUCCCCUGUGUCUAAAGCCACGUGUGGCCCAAACACCAGUGCUGUGCUUCCCUAGGAAACUGAUUUUGACACUGUCACUGUGAGCAGGCCUCCCAAGGAUAUCAACUGAACCCAGGAUAACAAGAUACAAGAAGACAAGGCACAAGCCCUCACAUCAAGGCUGGGUGAGGCAACCCAGUAGGAGGAAAAUGUCCCAAGACCAGGCAGAAGAGUCAGAGAUGCCCCCACUCACACUGCUAGGAGUCCCACGGAAACCAAGCUACAAACAUAACGUACAUGCAGAGGACCUAGCUCAGACCUAUGCAGGCUCUGCGAUUCCUGCUUCAGUCUCUGAGAGCCCCAUGAGUCCUGCUGAUCUGAUCUUGUGCUUCCUUCCUCCCCCUCUUCAAUGGAGUUCCCCGAGCUAGGUCUAAUGAUUGGCUGUGGGUCUCUGUGUCUGUUCCCAUCAGUUACUGGAUGAAGCCUCUCUGGUGAUGACUGGGCUAGACACCGAUCUAUGAGUAUAGCAGAUUAUCAUUAAGAAACCAUUGACACCCCUUCCCAGUGGCCUUUAACUUCAAGGUGCUAGGAGACACACCAAAGCAGGUUCUGAUGGGCUGAGCUCUGGCCUGCAGGGCUCGACUGAGGCCUCAGCGUGGCAGAACACUGGCUAGCUGUUGCCGGGAGCAUGGAAAAUCAAGUUCCCUCCUGUGUAGACAGAGAGAAUAUUGUUUUGUUUUUAUGCUGGUCAAAAGUCUUCAUGACCGGCUUGCUUGCUUCUCUUGUUGCCAAAUUCUGGGCAUUCUGCCAAGGACCUGCUGCCAUAUUGGAGGAUGAUUAUUUAAGCCCCUUUGGGCUGAAGUCUGCUUGGAGAUAAAACAUAUGCACACCUUUGGAUUGACAUGGGAUGUAUGGAAAUAGUUUAUUAUUAACUGGAUACAUUCUCAUAUUCUAUCCCCCCUACCCCCUACUGGUCCAGGGCCUCUUGCAUGGUGGGUAAAUGCCUACCACUUAAGCCAAUCCCAGCCCUCUUUUCUCUUUUUAAAAAUAUGAUAUAUAGGAGACCUUUAGUCCCAGCACUCAGGAGGCAGAGGCAGCAGAUCUCUGAGUUCAAGCCCAGCCUGGUCUACAAAGUGAGUUCAUGGCUACACAGUAAAAUCUGUCUCAAAAAGAAAAAAAACCCUGAAAUAUAUAUAUCUGUAUGUAUAAUACAUAAAUAUAUAUGUAUAUGUUUAUCUAUAUACAUGUAUAUAUGUAUAUACGUAUGUGUAUGUACAUACACAUACGUAUAUACAUACAUACAUACUUACAUAUAUGAAUAAAUGUCAUUGCUGGGCAGGACCUCUGAACAGGAGAAACCAUUUCCUGGGCAGUAGGGUAGGCUUGGAGCAGACAAGAUGGGUGAGAAUUACGCAGCUCCAAGAGUAAAGAAGGCUUAAGAAGCCUUGACUCAUUUACAAUGUCCCAUGCCAUUUCCGUUCUAAAAGGUUUUAAUGGGAAGACACAGGGAUGCUAUUCUAUUCUGGAAAUAUGCAUGGAAGAUUCUUGUAAUAGUUAGCACUUUGUUUGAUUUGUAGUUCCAGGUUAGCACAAAAUAAAACUUAAGCCAUCUGCGUGC
Molecule: long non-coding RNA, 1867 nt
Filed under: Mus caroli (Ryukyu mouse)
Lineage: Eukaryota; Metazoa; Chordata; Mammalia; Rodentia; Muridae
Description: RIKEN cDNA 5730460C07 gene (MGP_CAROLIEiJ_G0005797.1)
Source: RNAcentral